This 430-nucleotide ribosomal RNA is filed under the name uncultured bacterium. RNAcentral describes it as "partial 16S ribosomal RNA". It matches the Rfam family "Bacterial small subunit ribosomal RNA", at positions 338 to 795 of the family's 1533-position model. The record is from RNAcentral.
CCUACGGGUGGCAGCAGUCGAGAAUCUUUCACAAUGGGGGCAACCCUGAUGGAGCGACGCCGCGUGGAGGAUAAGGUCUUCGGAUUGUAAACUCCUGUCAUGUGUGAACUGGUAACACAAGAGGAAGAGACGGCUAACUCUGUGCCAGCAGCCGCGGUAAUACAGAGGUCUCAAGCGUUGUUCGGAAUCACUGGGCGUAAAGGGUGCGUAGGUGGCGUAGUAAGUCAGAUGUGAAAGCCCGGGGCUCAACCUCGGAAUUGCAUCCGAUACUGCUGUGCUAGAGUACUGAAGAGGUGACUAGAAUUCUCGGUGUAGCAGUGAAAUGCGUAGAUAUCGAGAGGAAUACCAACGGCGAAGGCAGGUCACUGGGCGUACUGACACUGAGGCACGAAGGCCAGGGGAGCAAACGGGAUUAGAUACCCUUGUAGUC